GUGUUAAUCUAAGUGAGAACUGGCACAUAGAGUAAAGCUAAACAAGUGUUUAACCCGAAAAAGUAUUUAAUGCUAAGUGUAAAUGCUCAUACCCAAGUUCUGAGAAACAAGGAGCAUAUUGAUUCAGAGAAGAGCUGCCUAACCACCUAAUACUGCAAAAAGAUCUUCCACCAUUCCUUUCUUUCAGAGGUCUGAGAUAUGUGGAUCUGGGCUGGGUGUAAGCAUAAUUCAAGAAAAUGAUUUGAGGAAAAGAAAUCCGUUUCAUUACUGCAUCCCCUUUACAAUUCAGAUGACUGACUUUUUAUAGCUCCAGCAAAGCCUUUGCCUCAACAGUCUAAGUAAGAGUUGCCUCUGCGAGGGAGAGGAGUUCCUAACACCUGCUCAGCCCACACAGCACCACCAUGACCAGCUCCACCUGACUGCUGUGAAAGGCCCCUUUGAGCAGCUCCAAGAUCAGGUGCAGGAAGACCCUUGAUAAUACAAAUGUGCACCAGAGACCCUCUAGGUCAGAUGCUGGCAUUCUAGAAGGAAGCGUCCUCAAAUUCCUGCUCUGGCUCUCAUGCUGAAGUCUCUGGGAACGCCUUUAUGGGACCUUAGGAGGGUGUUUUCUGUGAAGAUGAACUUCCCAUUGCCUCCCUCUGGUAGGAAUGCAGAAGAUAAAUGUGGGAAUAAGGUAGGAAGGAAGCAAAGUAGAAGAGACAGAAGGAGGGAAAGCCUGUGCAUGACAACCACUACUCUUUUGACAAUUUAAUGUCCAGCUGUUCUGUCAUUCUACUGUGGUGAUGGCUCUUUUAAGGUACCAUGGCCGUUAACGUGUGCCUGUCUCUAUAUGUGUGUGUGUGUGUGUGUGUGUGUGUCCAGUUGUCCCACUCCUGUCCCAUCUGUCUCUAUAUAGGCAUACUUUGGAGGUAUUACUAGUUAGGUUCCAGACCGCAAGAAAGUGAAUAUCACAGUACAGCAAGUCAUGUAUUUUUUACAAUUUGUGAGCACAAAUAUAAGUUUUAUUUAAACUAUAGUGUAUUAAGUGUACAGUAGCAUUUUUUCUUUAAAAAGUUCAUACUGUAACUAAGAUGAUCUGAGCCUUCCGUGAGUUGUAAUCAUUUUGCUUGUGGAUGGUCUUGGCUAGAUACUGCUGACUGCUGACUGAUCAGGAUGGUGGUUGCUAAAAGUUGGGAUGGCUGUGGCAAUUUCUUUAAACAAGACAACAGUGUUGUUUGUUGCAUUGAUUGACUCUUCCUUUCAUGAACACUUUCUCUAUAGCACACAGUGCUCUUUGAUAGCAUUUUACCCACAAUAGAACUUCUUUCAAAAUUGGAGUCAAUCCUCUUAAACUCUGCUUUAGCAAGUAAUUUUAUAUAAUAUUCUAGAUCCUUUUGUCAUUUAAGUAGUCUUCACAGCAUCUUCACCAGGACUAGUUUCCAUCUCAAAAAACCAUUUUCAUUGUUCAUCCAUAAGUAGUAACUCCUCACACAUUAAAUGUUAUCAUGAAUUAUAGCAAAUCUUCAUCUUCACCUUCUACUUCUAAUACUAGUUCUUUUGCUAUUUCUACCACAUCUGCAGUUACUUCUUCCACUAAAGUCUUGAACCUCUCCAAACCAUCUGUGAGAGUUAGUAUCAAAUUCAGUCGUUUCUUCAUAUUUCAUUUUCUCUCAGGCAAUAUGUUUUCCUCCCCCUAAAGGCUGAGUUACUUCAAAAACAGGACAGUCAGUAUCUCCAACUUUCUCACUUUAUAUUUCUUCAUUCAGCUUUUA
RNAcentral lists this long non-coding RNA (1751 nucleotides) under Sus scrofa (pig). Its description in RNAcentral is "lncRNA (ENSSSCG00025053836.1)". The record is from RNAcentral. Lineage: Eukaryota; Metazoa; Chordata; Mammalia; Artiodactyla; Suidae.